UGAUAAGCGACUCAGGGCACGAGGUGGAUGCCUUGGGACAUGUUAGCGAAGAAGGACGGAAAGGCCACGAAAGAGUGCGGUGAGCUGCCAAAGAAGCAUUGACCCGCAUGUGUCCGAAUGGGGAAACCCCAUGGGAGUAAAGUCCCAUGAUCGUAAUCCAAGUAAAGUAGGGUUGCGAAGCAUACGGAGGGAAUUGAAACAUCUCAGUACCUCCAGGAAAAGAAAUCAAGCAAGAGAUUCCCCCAGUAGUGGCGAGCGAAAAGGGAAUAGCCUAAACCAGCACAAGUGAUUGUGACUGGGGUUGCGGGAGCCCAAUAUGGGACUAAAACUUAUAGCAGAAAGGUCUGGGAAGGCCUGCCAAAGAGGGUGAGAGCCCCGUAAGCGAAAUGAGUUUUAGCCUUAGGGAAUUCCCAAGUACCAUGGGGUCGGAGACGCCCUGUGGGAAUCCGGGUGCACCAUCAUCCAAGGCUAAAUAUGACAUGUCACCGAUAGCGCAUAGUACCGCGAGGGAAAGGUGAAAAGAACCCCGUGAAGGGGAGUGAAAUAGAAUCUGAAACCCCGUGCCUACAAGCAGUGGGAGGGCUAUGCCCGAAAGGGAAAUGCCUGACCGCGUACCUUUUGCAUAAUGAGCCAGCGAGUUAUUGUCGGUCGCAAGGUUAACCCGUCGAAGGGGGAGCCGUAGCGAAAGCGAGUCUGAAUAGGGCGAGUGAGUGGCCGGCAAUAGACCCGAAACGCGAUGAGCUAGACAUGACCAGGUUGAAGCGUCCGUAACAGGGCGUGGAGGACCGAACCGGUGCCCGUUGAAAAGGUCUCGGAUGAGUUGUGUUUAGGGGUGAAAGGCCAACCAAAUUGCGUGAUAGCUGGUUCUCCCCGAAAGCUAUUUAGGUAGCGUCUCAUGGAGAAUCGUUGGGGGUAGAGCACUGACUGGGCUAGGGGCCUUACCGGGUUACCAACCCCUAUCAAACUCCGAAUACCAACGAAUUUUACCCCAUGGGAGGCAGACGGCGGGAGAUAAGUUUCGUCGUCAAAAGGGAAAGAACCCAGAUCGCCAGCUAAGGUCCCAAAUUCUAUACUGAGUGGGAAAGGAUGUGACAAUCCAUAGACAACCAGGAGGUUAGCUUAGAAGCAGCUAUCCUUUAAAGAAAGCGUAAUAGCUCACUGGUCGAGGAUUGUUGCGCCGAAAACGUAACGGGGCUGAAGUAUAGAACCGAAGCUGCGAAUGCGUAGAGAUACCGUCUCUAUGCGUGGUAGGGGAGCAUUGUCUAAGCCGGAGAAGCGCAAGCGUAAGCAUGCGUGGAGGUAUGACAAGAGCUGCUGCUGGUAUGAGUAGCGAUAAAUUAGGUGAGAAUCCUAAUCGCCGUAAGCCCAAGGGUUCCUGCACACGGCUCGUCCGGGCAGGGUUAGUCGAGACCUAAGGUGAGGCCGAGAGGCGUAACCGAUGGAGAUGGGGUUAAUAUUCCUCAACUGGGCUGUAAUCGUUAUCAAUUGAGUCAGGACCGUGAAAGUCCAUCUGAGCCAGUCAUUGGUUGUACUGGUCUAACCAUGUAGAGGUGAUCUUUAGGUAAAUCCGGAGGUCAGUCAUCCUCGAGAUGGGAAUGCGAAGGGGGUAACACCUCGAGAAGUCAGAUGUACUCGGCACGCAAGAAAAGUGGCGCAAUGAGAUUACAGUUCACUCGUACCGGAAACCGACACAGGUGGGCGAGGAGAGCAUCCUCAGGCGCGUGAGAGAACUCCAGCUAAGGAACUCUGCAAAUUACUACUGUAACUUAGGGAUAAGGUAGCCCGAUAGUACUUGAAGUGCAUUUACUGCAUCAGGGGAAUUCGGGGGCAGAAACUAGGGGGUAUCGACUGUUUAACAAAAACACAGGGCUCUGCAAACUCAAUCGAGGAUGUAUAGGGUCUGACGCCUGCCCGGUGCCGGAAGGUCAUGGGGAGAGGUCAUAGACUUCGGUCUAGAAGCUUCGAACUUAAGCCCCGGUAAACGGCGGCCGUAACUAUAACGGUCCUAAGGUAGCGAAAUUCCUUGUCGGGUAAGUUCCGACCUGCACGAAUGGCGUAACGAAUUCCCCACUGUCUCGGCUGGAGACUCAGCGAAGUUGGAGUCGCGGUGCAGAUACCGUGUUCCUGCGGCAAGACGGAAAGACCCCGUGAACCUUUACUGUACCCUGGCAUCGAUCAUCUGGGAACCUUGUGUAGGAUAGGUGGGAGCCUUUGAAGCCUAGGCGCUAGCUUAGGUGGAGGCAACCUUGAAAUACCACCCUGGGUUCUUGGCUGAUCUCACCAUAGGUCGCAAUCAACCGGCCAUGGGACGAUGUCAGGCGGGCAGUUUGACUGGGGCGGUCGCCUCCCAAAGAGUAACGGAGGCGCACGAAGGUACCCUCAGGCUGAGUGGAAACCAGCCGUAGAGUGCAAGGGCAUAAGGGUGCUUGACUGCAAGACGGACAUGUCGCGCAGGCGCGAAAGCGGGUCCUAGUGAUCCGGUGAUUCUGUAUGGAAGGGUCAUCGCUCAACGGAGAAAAGGUACUCCGGGGAUAACAGGCUUAUCUCCCCCAAGAGUUCACAUCGACGGGGAGGUUUGGCACCUCGAUGUCGGCUCAUCACAUCCUGGAGCUGAAGAAGGUUCCAAGGGUUCGGCUGUUCGCCGAUUAAAGUGGCACGCGAGCUGGGUUUAGAACGUCGUGAGACAGUUCGGUCCCUAUCCGCCGUGGGCGCAGGAGAUUUGAGAGGAUCUGUCCCUAGUACGAGAGGACCGGGAUGGACGAACCAAUGGUGGACCGGUUGUUGCGCCAGCAGCAUAGCCGGGUAGCUAAGUUCGGAUCGGAUAACCGCUGAAAGCAUCUAAGUGGGAAGCCGACCUCAAGACGAGAUCUCCCUGAACUUCGGUUCCUGAAGAGCACUCCGAGACUAGGAGUUUGAUAGGCUGGGUGUGGAAGCGCAGUAAUGCGUGGAGCUGACCAGUACUAAUCGCUCGUGAGGCUUGACCAA
Molecule: ribosomal RNA, 2985 nt
Filed under: Hyphomicrobiaceae bacterium
Lineage: Bacteria; Pseudomonadati; Pseudomonadota; Alphaproteobacteria; Hyphomicrobiales; Hyphomicrobiaceae
Description: 23S ribosomal RNA
Rfam family: Bacterial large subunit ribosomal RNA
Source: RNAcentral